ACAGAGGUGGCAAGCGUUGUUCGGAUUUACUGGGCGUAAAGGGUGCGUAGGUGGCUUCGUGUGUCGGGCGUGAAAGCCCACCGCUCAACGGUGGAAUGCCGUCCGAAACUACGAGGCUUGAGUGCAGGAGAGGAGAGCGGAAUUCUUGGUGUAGCGGUGGAAUGCGUUGAUAUCAAGAAGAACACCAGUGGCGUAGGCGGCUCUCUGGAAUGCAACUGACACUGAGGCACGAAAGUUGGGGGAGCAAACAG
This 251-nucleotide ribosomal RNA is filed under the name uncultured prokaryote. RNAcentral describes it as "partial 16S rRNA". It matches the Rfam family "Bacterial small subunit ribosomal RNA", at positions 525 to 775 of the family's 1533-position model. The record is from RNAcentral.